This 1053-nucleotide long non-coding RNA is filed under the name Durio zibethinus. RNAcentral describes it as "long non-coding RNA (DZIB_LNC001656)". The record is from RNAcentral. Lineage: Eukaryota; Viridiplantae; Streptophyta; Magnoliopsida; Malvales; Malvaceae.
UUGAUUUGGAUAACUGUUUUAGGAUAAAUGUUGUAACCAUUGAUUUUGAAUUGUGACAUGGCUUCUCUGGCAAUCAGCAGUGGUGCAGGAGGGUGCAAUCUCAGAGUUUCUUUUAUAACCAUCUUGAGGUAUUGAAGCUGAUCGAGAUCGCUUUCUGUUACUCUUCCUUUCUUUCCCACAAUGCUUCGAACUUCAUCUUGUGCUUUCUUCAUCAGUCUUGGUUUUCUACAUAGCUCUGCCAUUGCCCAGUUCACAGUAAGUGCGCUAGUGUCCACUCCGCCUAAAAACAUGUUCUGCAAAGUAGGCAUCAGUCAGAGCCAAGCGGAACAAAGCCUAACAAUAAAAUUGGCACCGGAAAAUAAAAAAGUUUCAAUCAAUUUGUUACGAAAUUAAUUAUAAGAAAUAGUGAAUAUUUCGACUUCUCUAUUUUUGGGUGAUGAUGAAUGCUAUCAAAUUGUGUAUAGAUCUAAACUGAAAUUUAAUGCAGUUGAUUUUUUGAGUCACUUUAGAUAUGAUAUCCAACAAUUUUAGAAUUAGAAUCCCACCAAUUGUAAUUUCUUCUCUAUCCUAGACUAUGACUUCUUUUCUUAAAAAAAAUUGUGUAUAGAUCUACCUAGAUCUCAACUUCAAAACUAACCAAUACUAAUAGUUUUAAAGAUUUGUAACUAAAUUAUCGUUUUUAAAUGAAUGAAUUAGCUUGGAUUUUAAAAGUCAUUGACAAAAGAUGUUCAAUUUAAUUUGGUUUAGAUAUUGUUUAAAAUUACACAUAUAAUGUAUCAAAUGAUAUGUCUAAGUAACGUUGCAUAGAUCCCAAAUGGUGUUAUUUGACAAUACUUACCAAGAGAACUGCCUUGAUAUGAUUUUUGGUGAGCCAAGCAUGACCAUCUUCAAUUUGCUCCUUUUCUAUUCCAAGCAUCACGUCAAUAAUGUCAUCCUGCGAUUUUAUCCUCCCAGGUUUAAGGUGAUCAUCAAUUACCUGUUGAAAGAACGUAUCCAACUCAUGGAAAAUUCUCUCAACUCUUUUAUUAUGACCAUUUAUCCUGUCCAAAAUCC